This 468-nucleotide ribosomal RNA is filed under the name uncultured bacterium. RNAcentral describes it as "partial 16S ribosomal RNA". It matches the Rfam family "Bacterial small subunit ribosomal RNA", at positions 28 to 507 of the family's 1533-position model. The record is from RNAcentral.
GACGAACGCUGGCGGCGUGCUUAACACAUGCAAGUCGAACGGAAAGGCCCUGCUUUUGUGGGGUGCUCGAGUGGCGAACGGGUGAGUAACACGUGAGUAACCUGCCCUUGACUUUGGGAUAACUUCAGGAAACUGAGGCUAAUACCGGAUAGGAGCUCCUGCUGCAUGGUGGGGGUUGGAAAGUUUCGGCGGUUGGGGAGGGACUCGCGGCUUAUCAGCUUGUUGGUGGGGUGGUGGCUUACCAAGGCUUUGACGGGUGGCCGGCCUGAGAGGGUGACCGGCCACAUUGGGACUGAGAUACGGCCCAGACUCCUACGGGAGGCAGCAGUGGGGAAUAUUGCACAAUGGGCGGAAGCCUGAUGCAGCAACGCCGCGUGCGGGAUGACGGCCUUCGGGUUGUAUACCGCUUUCGCCUGUGACGAAGCGUGAGUGACGGUAAUGGGUAAAGAAGCACCGGCUAACUACGUG